RNAcentral lists this unclassified non-coding RNA (1343 nucleotides) under Hevea brasiliensis (rubber tree). Lineage: Eukaryota; Viridiplantae; Streptophyta; Magnoliopsida; Malpighiales; Euphorbiaceae. The record is from RNAcentral.
GAAUAGAUAGUAGAGAACAAGAGAUACGGCGAUUGAUAAAUAAUCUUAUCCUUUCCUCAUCUUGCAUCUAUGAAAACCAAAACCAAACAUACCUACGGCUACGGAAAGACGGAGGAUUCCAGCUUCAAUUGGAACUGGAAAGUAAACGACUACAAUAACAAGAACCGUGGAAAGCAAUCCCCGGUAACUGAAUUCCUCCAAGACAACUACCGUAAGCUGGAGGAAACAGUGUUAGGUCCUGGAGGCGGCUUAGGGAUUGGAUGCGGCAUUGGGGUGGGUUUCGGUUUGGUUGGUGGUAUCGGUUAUGGUGGCUGGCCGUGGAACCAUCUUAAGCUAGUAUUUGGGGUCGGCAUGGGCUGUGGUGUGGGAUUCGGGUUCGGAUAUGGGUGUGGGCUGGGCUAUGGUCGUAGCUUGGAUUCGUUGCAGUCUCAAAUGGAUAAGAGGAAGUCAGCUUCUGGCAACAAGGCAAUUUGGUGAGGUACAUAAAUUACGAAUUUUUCAUUUGAUCGAUUGUCAUGCCAAUGUGCGUUACAUUUGCUUUUAUUUUUUGAGGCUCUAAUGGGAUUGAAUCUUGUAACAUUAUAAUCCUGAAAACUAUUUGAGUUUGGCUUAAUGGUGGGGAUUAUAUUUGUAUAGGGAUUUCUUAUUAUAUUUGUAUAGGGAUUUCUUUCUCAUUUUGAUUUAUACUAACUAGGAACCAUAGAGCAUAACUAGCUUUAUUUGAUUUAUAUUGCCAUCAUUCCUUCAGAAUCCCAUGUCUCAUACUUUGCAUCUUUGUUCUUCAUUUGAAGGAUAUCAGUAGCCUUACUCUUUUAAGAAGUAUUCUUUCGAGGAAAAACACCAAACGUUUAGGUUACUGCAAAAGAGGUGCCAUAGGUUGCAUGGGCGAAGGAAAGUAGCUCAACCUGUGAUUAAAAUUAUUGAACAUCAUUCUCCCAACUUCAGGGUGCUGGUCCCAAGCGCAUAGGUCCAUUCAGUUGAGGAGAUUAUCAUUACUCUGUGCAGCCUCAGAUAGUAAGAUUCAAUGAAAUUUUUGGUGUCAGUCAACAAUGUUAGCGGCCAGCUCCCCAAAAAUAUGGGUUGGAUGGAAGCAUCCAAGGAUAACCCUUAUGAACACAUCUUUGAAGUGGCUGGGCACUUGAUUAUCUAUUUGCUUCGUAUCAAGAAUAGAUUGUGCCCAGUUGAAUGUAGAUUGCUAUUGUUCCUUUGCUUGUAGUCCUCCACAUUAUCACCAAUGUUUUGAGUUUUUUGAAACGAUUCCACGCCAUUUUGACUUGGAUAUGUUUGCAUCACAAUUUGUGUUUCUUUCAUCAUGGUUAUGCAAUUUAGAGUCUGGUUUGCCA